Molecule: signal recognition particle RNA, 276 nt
Filed under: Callithrix jacchus (white-tufted-ear marmoset)
Lineage: Eukaryota; Metazoa; Chordata; Mammalia; Primates; Cebidae
Description: Metazoan signal recognition particle RNA (ENSCJAG00000059280.2)
Rfam family: Metazoan signal recognition particle RNA
About the family: The signal recognition particle (SRP) is a universally conserved ribonucleoprotein.
Source: Rfam by way of RNAcentral
GCUGGGCAUGGUGGUGCGUGCCUGUAGUCCCAGCUACUCGGGAGGCUGAGGCAGGAGAAUUGCUUGAACCCAGAGGUGGAGGUUGUGGUGAGCUGAGAUCGUACCAUUGCACUCCAGUCUGGGUAACAAGAGCGAAACUCCGUCUCAAAAAAAAAAAAAAAAAUUUUUUUUUUUUGAGACAGAAUUUAACUCUGUUGCCCAGGCUAGAGUGCAGUGGUGCGAUUGCAGCUCACCGCAGUCUCUGCCUCCUGGGUUCAAGCAAUUCUCCUGCUUCAG